This is a non-coding RNA of Schistosoma curassoni, 45 nucleotides long. NCBI's taxonomy places the organism in Eukaryota, Metazoa, Platyhelminthes, Trematoda, Strigeidida, Schistosomatidae. The record is from Rfam.
AUCCAGCUUAAGAGUCCCGAAUAGGACGAAACACACGUCCUGAAU